CCUGGCGGCAAUAGCGCUGUGGAACCACCUGAUCCCAUGCCGAACUCAGAAGUGAAACGCGGUAGCGCCGAUGGUAGUGUGGCAUUCGCCAUGCGAGAGUAGGACACUGCCAGGC
This 115-nucleotide ribosomal RNA is filed under the name Aeromonas jandaei. The record is from RNAcentral. RNAcentral also lists the same sequence under 3 other names. Lineage: Bacteria; Pseudomonadati; Pseudomonadota; Gammaproteobacteria; Aeromonadales; Aeromonadaceae.